Labrus bergylta (ballan wrasse) is the source of this 164-nucleotide non-coding RNA. NCBI's taxonomy places the organism in Eukaryota, Metazoa, Chordata, Actinopteri, Labriformes, Labridae. The record is from RefSeq and is a predicted model, not a curated record.
GGAGACCCUGAGGUGAUCAAAACACCGCUACCUACUGAGAAACCUCUCAUGAACAGAACGACUUUAAUGCUUCAACAGAACGAGCAGGAGGGCCUCAGGCAGCGGACACCUCCUGCUGACAAGAUGAUCAACUUCAAACAACAAGCUUCAUCUCGGACACCACA